Molecule: ribosomal RNA, 301 nt
Filed under: uncultured bacterium
Lineage: Bacteria
Description: partial 16S ribosomal RNA
Rfam family: Bacterial small subunit ribosomal RNA
Source: RNAcentral
CAGCAUCCGCGGGAAUACGUAGGUGGCAAGCGUUGUCCGGAAUUAUUGGGCGUAAAGGGAGCGCAGGCGGGCGAGUAAGUCUUUCUUAAAAGUGCGGGGCUCAACCCCGUGAGGGGAGAGAAACUACUCAUCUUGAGUGCAGGAGAGGAAAGCGGAAUUCCUAGUGUAGCGGUGAAAUGCGUAGAUAUUAGGAAGAACACCAGUGGCGAAGGCGGCUUUCUGGACUGUAACUGACGCUGAGGCUCGAAAGCCAGGGGAGCGAACGGGAUUAGAUACCCGCGUAGUCCCUGUCUCUUAUACA